UAGGGAAUCUUCCACAAUGGGCGCAAGCCUGAUGGAGCAACGCCGCGUGAGUGAAGAAGGUCUUCGGAUCGUAAAACUCUGUUGUUAGAGAAGAACAUGCAGGAGAGUAACUGUUCUUGUAUUGACGGUAUCUAACCAGAAAGCCACGGCUAACUACGUGCAG
RNAcentral lists this ribosomal RNA (163 nucleotides) under uncultured bacterium. RNAcentral's name for it is "partial 16S rRNA". It matches the Rfam family "Bacterial small subunit ribosomal RNA", at positions 355 to 510 of the family's 1533-position model. The record is from RNAcentral.